This 1081-nucleotide long non-coding RNA is filed under the name Equus asinus (donkey). RNAcentral's name for it is "lncRNA (ENSEASG00005023845.1)". The record is from RNAcentral. Lineage: Eukaryota; Metazoa; Chordata; Mammalia; Perissodactyla; Equidae.
GUACAGUCAAGGCUACUUGGUUGUUUAAGCAAUCAGAGUUUAUUGAUAAAGGGAAACAGAACAAGGAGUGGGGAUAAAGGGGAACAACAAAUCGGUACUUACAACAUCCACACCACAAUGAGCCAGGGAAGUCCCAAUAGUUUGUACAGCGGGUGAGAGUGCUGAUCGUCCAGGUCUGAGGCAAAGCGUCCUUUCCUCAGGGAGACCUCCAAUUAUCCUAUGCCUGGGACUCCCUUUCAUCCCAAGGUUUCUCUGCGUUCUGACUCAGGGUUUUAGACAUUUGGAUAUUUUGAGUUAUUUCUUCUUGUUCCCACGGAUGGGGUGCUUUUACCAUUUUUGUUCCUACGGAUGGGAUGUUUCUAAAGUCCUGUCAGGUGCCCUUCCGGGUGGCCAGGCCCAGUGUCCAUGGAAGGUAGGGGAGGGGGUCAAUGAACUCUGUACAACCUGGGACUGGGGAGGGUUAGGUGAUAGAGGUGAGGAAGACUAUCUCAUGGGCCAGAUCCCUGCGGCACUGAGCUCUCUCCUACAGAGCUAACUGACCUUUCACUGCCCAUACCACAAAACGCCAAAGCCAUCUGUCUUCUAUCCCACAUCUCUGCAUCCCAAAUUUUCCUGGGAAAGUUUCCAGGAGCUGGAGCUCACAGAGUUUGUCGUUAGCUCUAGGCCUUCAGAGCACUGCUGGGGCUCAGUUAGGAGAACUCGUGUGUGCUAGAGUGUUGGGGCAGGAGAUGUAAACAGAAGUGGAGAGGCUCCCGCAGCAGUGCGCUAGCAUUUAUCCAGCACUUGCUUUCUGUCAGGCACUGUGUUAAGGUUGUCCGUGUGGUGUCUUGUUUGCUCUCCACGGCGACACUGUAAGAUAGGUAGGAACAUUUACGUUCCUGAGCUAUGAUGAGACAAGGGCGAUUUAGAGAGGGCUAUAACUCACUCGAGGCCAUAUUGCUAGUUCUCACACAGGUCUAUAUGACCCCAAAGCUCAUGCUCUUACUUAUGGUAUCCUACCUCUUUUUUGGAUUUGUGGGUGCCAUGGGCUGUGUCCAAAUCUGCUAUCACUUCUUUAAAAUCCAGGUGGAGGGGAGAGAGG